Molecule: long non-coding RNA, 386 nt
Organism: Manihot esculenta (cassava)
Lineage: Eukaryota; Viridiplantae; Streptophyta; Magnoliopsida; Malpighiales; Euphorbiaceae
Exons: 3
Source: RefSeq, a predicted model, not a curated record
UCUUAGUAUGCAUGAAUCUGUUUUCUUGAAGGAUGUCUAACACAUAUUUCUUUUGGUGAAGGAAAAGACCAGCUUCAGAACGUGCAACCUGCAGCCCCAGGAAAUAUUUGACAUAUCCCAAAUCUUUGAUGGUGAAGAGUUUAUCUAGGCAGCGAUCAAAAGAGGAUUGGCUGAACCCAUAUUAUUUCAAACAAUUGGUAAUUGUUUCCAUUCAGAGGUGAGCUGACGAGGAUCAUGCUGGGAGAGUCAGAAUUCAAUAGUCUGAUCGUCUUGUCUUCUUUAUCGGCUGUUUUUGGUAUGGUUUCUUCGAAAAUUUCUGUCAUCAUGCUUGUUACGUAAGGUGUAUGGAGAGAAAUGAGGGAUGAAUUUCUCCAGAUCUAGAUCUG